Molecule: ribosomal RNA, 451 nt
Filed under: uncultured organism
Description: partial 16S ribosomal RNA
Rfam family: Bacterial small subunit ribosomal RNA
Source: RNAcentral
CACUCCUGCGGGAGGCAGCAGUGGGGAAUAUUGGACAAUGGGCGCAAGCCUGAUCCAGCCAUGCCGCGUGAGUGAUGAAGGCCCUAGGGUUGUAAAGCUCUUUCACCGGUGAAGAUAAUGACGGUAACCGGAGAAGAAGCCCCGGCUAACUUCGUGCCAGCAGCCGCGGUAAUACGAAGGGGGCUAGCGUUGUUCGGAUUUACUGGGCGUAAAGCGCACGUAGGCGGACUAUUAAGUCAGGGGUGAAAUCCCGGGGCUCAACCCCGGAACUGCCUUUGAUACUGGUAGUCUUGAGUUCGAGAGAGGUGAGUGGAAUUCCGAGUGUAGAGGUGAAAUUCGUAGAUAUUCGGAGGAACACCAGUGGCGAAGGCGGCUCACUGGCUCGAUACUGACGCUGAGGUGCGAAAGCGUGGGGAGCAAACAGGAUUAGAAACCCGUGUAGUCCCAUGAU